GUGCAAACUCUAUCACUAGCUCUGUAUGAUGUUGCAAAAGUGAGGGGAACCUGUUUGGCUAAAAUAAUUACAGUGAUACCAAUGUAUUAACUUUAAACGCUAAUGAGAGUGUCCAUUCUAUUCAACUACAGAG
Sorex fumeus (smoky shrew) is the source of this 133-nucleotide small nucleolar RNA. The record is from RefSeq and is a predicted model, not a curated record. NCBI's taxonomy places the organism in Eukaryota, Metazoa, Chordata, Mammalia, Eulipotyphla, Soricidae.